This is a long non-coding RNA of Carassius auratus (goldfish), 736 nucleotides long. RefSeq lists it as uncharacterized. The record is from RefSeq and is a predicted model, not a curated record. NCBI's taxonomy places the organism in Eukaryota, Metazoa, Chordata, Actinopteri, Cypriniformes, Cyprinidae. The transcript has 3 exons.
GCAGUCUCAUUUCCACAAGCGCUUGCACUCUCGUGGCGUCUGUCGUUGCCAUGCAACCAACUGCGCUCUCCAUGAUGACAAGAAGGAUCAGCAAAAUAUUAAUUGAUUUCUAGCCCUUGCGUUAACUUUAUUACUAGAUAUAUUUAUGGAGAUGAAAAAUAAUAAAGGCGCCCUGUACAGCUAUGAUCAGCUGUUCGGCCGAGCAUUCAAUGUUGUGACGCUGUAAGCUGAUCAGUUGGUUCGUUGCUGCCGCGCUCUAUCACUCGCACACCAUAAAGAGCAAAAUGUUUUUUAAUGUUUCAGUUUCGUUAUUACAACGACAAUUUGGAAGCGGAUAAUUUCUUCACAAACAGCUCAUUUUGACUCAAAAUGUUAGAAUGCUGCACCUACACUUGAUAGUGUGAAUAAGAUCAGCGCAACGCAGACCGCUGCAUUGACAGCGUGAAACAUGAUCUGUCUACAGCAGCCAGGGCUCCGCCGUUUACUGUCUAUGAGCUCAGCGCUGAGACAGAAAAUGCCGGUCCAGCGCUGAUUGAGGAAUUAAAUUCGAAAAUAAAAGACAAUUUGACUAGACAAUUUGACAUAUUUUUUCUCGCAUCUGUGAAUUUAUUUUUUAAUCAAUUGCUCUGAGAUGAAGCAAAUAUAUUUGUGCGGGAAUUUCUCGCACUAUAAAAGCUAACCUUGCGGGAAUGGUUUAAAUUAUGCGCAAUCCCCGCAUUCCCGCACCGAAAUUCAA